RNAcentral lists this ribosomal RNA (468 nucleotides) under uncultured bacterium. RNAcentral describes it as "partial 16S ribosomal RNA". It matches the Rfam family "Bacterial small subunit ribosomal RNA", at positions 28 to 507 of the family's 1533-position model. The record is from RNAcentral.
GAUGAACGCUGGCGGCGUGCUUAACACAUGCAAGUCGAACGGAAAGGCCCUGCGUUUGUGGUGUUCUCGAUUGCCGAAGGGGGGAGUGACACGUGUGUAACCUGCCCUUGUCUUUCGGAUAACAUCAGGGAACUGGGGCUAAUAUCGGAGAGGAUCUCCUGCUCCGUGGUGGGCGUUGGAAAGUUUCGGCGGUGGGGGAUGGACUCGCGGCUUAUGAGCUUGUUGGUGGGGUAGUGGCUUACCAAGGCUUUGACGGGUAGGCCGCCUGAGAGAGUGACCGGCCACAUUGGGACUGCGAGACGGAGCAGACGGGAACGGGAGGCAACAGUCGGGAGUAUGGCACAAUGGGCCCAAGUGUGAUGCGGAGACGUCGGGUGCGUGAUGCCGGCUUUCUGGGUAUGAACAGCUGUCGACUGAGACGAAGCGUGAGUGACGGUAAUGAAUAAAGAAGCACCGGCUAACUACGUG